RNAcentral lists this ribosomal RNA (949 nucleotides) under uncultured Clostridium sp. RNAcentral's name for it is "partial 16S ribosomal RNA". It matches the Rfam family "Bacterial small subunit ribosomal RNA", at positions 1 to 965 of the family's 1533-position model. The record is from RNAcentral. Lineage: Bacteria; Bacillati; Bacillota; Clostridia; Eubacteriales; Clostridiaceae.
AGANNGGNUAGGAUGACGCUGGCGGCGUGCCUAACACAUGCAAGUCGAGCGAUUUACUUCGGUAAAGAGCGGCGGACGGGUGAGUAACGCGUGGGUAACCUGCCUCAUACACAUGGAUAACAUACCGAAAGGUAUGCUAAUACAGGAUAAUAUAAGAGAUUCACAUGGAUUUUUUAUCAAAGCUCCGGCGGUAUGAGAUGGACCCGCGUCUGAUUAGCUAGUUGGUAAGGUGAUGGCUUACCAAGGCGACGAUCAGUAGCCGACCUGAGAGGGUGAUCGGCCACAUUGGAACUGAGACACGGUCCAAACUCCUACGGGAGGCAGCAGUGGGGAAUAUUGCCCAAUGGGCGAAAGCCUGAUGCAACAACGCCGCGUGAGUGAUGAAGGCCUUCGGGUCGUAAAACUCUGUCCUCAAGGAAGAUAAUGACGGUACUUGAGGAGGGAGCCCCGGGGUAACUACGUGGCCGCCAGCCGCGGUAAUACCUUGGGGGCUAGCGGUUAUCCCGGAAUUACUGGGCGUAAAGGGGGCGGUAAGUGGUUUUUUUAAUCAGGGAGUGGAAAGGUACCGCUCCACCCCUAGUAAGCUCUUUGAAACUGGGAAAACUUGAGUGGCGGGAGAAGGAAAGUGGAAUUCCCUAAUGUAGCGGGGAAAUGCGGUAGAUAAUUAGGAAGGAACCCCCCGUAGCGAAAGCGGCUUUCUUGGACUGUGACUGAAACUGAAGCACCGAAAGCGUGGGGGAGCAAACAAGAUUUAGAUACCCUGGUAGUCCCCCCCCUAAACAAAGAGUAAUACGUGUCGGGGGUUUCCCCCCCUCCGUGGCGCACCUAAAACAUUAAGUACUCCCCCCUGGGGGAGUACNCUCGCCAACAGUGAAACUCUCAAGAAAUUGACGGGGACCCCCACCAAGUAAGCGGAGCCAUGGUGGUUGUAUUUCUAAGCAACAGCGAA